GGGCGAGUAGCUCAGCUAGGUUUAGAGCGCUACCCUUACAAGGUAGAUGUCACAGGUUCGAUCCCUGUCUCGCCCACCA
RNAcentral lists this transfer RNA (79 nucleotides) under Candidatus Aadella gelida. Its description in RNAcentral is "tRNA-Val". It matches the Rfam family "tRNA". From Rfam's summary of the family: Transfer RNA (tRNA) molecules are approximately 80 nucleotides in length. Their secondary structure includes four short double-helical elements and three loops (D, anti-codon, and T loops). Lineage: Bacteria; Pseudomonadati; Candidatus Omnitrophota. The record is from RNAcentral.